UUGCUGUUAGUUUUUGUUGGGAUUUAAACCCCUCAGACUCUUAAUCAGUAGGUCCUCGGUUCGAUCCCGAGACGGCCCACCA
Molecule: transfer RNA, 82 nt
Filed under: Nitrospinae bacterium CG11_big_fil_rev_8_21_14_0_20_45_15
Lineage: Bacteria; Pseudomonadati; Nitrospinota
Description: tRNA-Lys
Source: RNAcentral